Molecule: non-coding RNA, 124 nt
Filed under: uncultured eukaryote
Lineage: Eukaryota
Source: RNAcentral
AAGCUUGGCCUUCUUAUCGCCAGCGGCAGCUUUCGGAGAAGGUCGAGGUGCCCGGCCACGCCCGCCGCGUUUGCCAUGGCGGGCAAGCGGAAGCGCGGCGUGAUCAAAGAGGCCAAGGAGGCGC